UACGUAGGUGGCGAGCGUUAUCCGGAAUGAUUGGGCGUAAAGGGUGCGCAGGCGGUCCUGCAAGUCUGGAGUGAAACGUAUGAGCUCAACUCAUGCAUGGCUCUGGAAACUGGAGGGCUGGAGUGCAGGAGAGGUAAGCGGAAUUUCUAGUGUAGCGGUGGAAUGCGUAGAUAUUAGGAAGAACACCGGAGGCGAAGGCGGCUUACUGGACUGUAACUGACGCUGAGGCUCGAAAGCGUGGGGAGCAAACAGG
Molecule: ribosomal RNA, 253 nt
Filed under: uncultured Bacillota bacterium
Lineage: Bacteria; Bacillati; Bacillota
Description: uncultured Firmicutes bacterium partial 16S ribosomal RNA
Rfam family: Bacterial small subunit ribosomal RNA
Source: RNAcentral